AGUGAACGCUGGCGGUAGGUCUAACACAUGCAAGUCGAACGGCAGCACAGUAAGAGCUUGCUCUUACGGGUGGCGAGUGGCGGACGGGUGAGGAAUACAUCGGAAUCUACUUUUUCGUGGGGGAUAACGUAGGGAAACUUACGCUAAUACCGCAUACGACCUACGGGUGAAAGCAGGGGAUCUUCGGACCUUGCGCGAUUGAAUGAGCCGAUGUCGGAUUAGCUAGUUGGCGGGGUAAAGGCCCACCAAGGCGACGAUCCGUAGCUGGUCUGAGAGGAUGAUCAGCCACACUGGAACUUAGACACGGUCCAGACUCCUACGGGAGGCAGCAGUGGGGAAUAUUGGACAAUGGGCGCAAGCCUGAUCCAGCCAUACCGCGUGGGUGAAGAAGGCCUUCGGGUUGUAAAGCCCUUUUGUUGGGAAAGAAAAGCAGCAGGUUAAUACCCCGCUGUUCUGGCGGUACCCAAAGAAUAAGCACCGGCUAACUUCGUG
Molecule: ribosomal RNA, 492 nt
Filed under: uncultured bacterium
Lineage: Bacteria
Description: partial 16S ribosomal RNA
Rfam family: Bacterial small subunit ribosomal RNA
Source: RNAcentral